RNAcentral lists this unclassified non-coding RNA (243 nucleotides) under Hevea brasiliensis (rubber tree). The record is from RNAcentral. Lineage: Eukaryota; Viridiplantae; Streptophyta; Magnoliopsida; Malpighiales; Euphorbiaceae.
GUGGUGCAGCAGCAGCAGAGGAAGCGGUCGCUGGUGGCCGCGUCGGCGGUCGCGGCGGCGGACUGCGUCGUGAGGGCGGCGAAGAGGCAGAGGCAGCAGCGGCAGCCGCCGUCGCUCGACGCGCUCCCCGACGAGUGCCUCUUCGAGGUCCUCCGUCGCCUCCCCGGCGGCCGCGAGCGCGGCGCCUCCGCCUGCGUCUCCCGCCGCUGGCUCGCCCUCCUCUGCAGCAUCCGGGCUUCCGAG